GUUGUGGCUCAGCGGUACAGCGCUCUCCUAGCAUGUGCGAGGCCCUGGGUUCGAUCCUCAGCACCACA
Molecule: transfer RNA, 68 nt
Filed under: Marmota monax (woodchuck)
Lineage: Eukaryota; Metazoa; Chordata; Mammalia; Rodentia; Sciuridae
Description: tRNA.Ala
Source: RNAcentral